AUGCAUGUGUAAGAAUAAACCGAAUAUGGUAAAUCCGCGAAUGGCUCAUUAUUCAGCCACAAAUCAUUGGAUCUAAUCAGUUACUUGGAUAACUGUUCAAAAGGAAGAGCUAAGACAUGCCUCGAAGGCCAAGCGCAAGCUUGGUCGCACUUCUUAGAAAAGACCAAUUGGCCUUUGCCAUCCAUUGGUGAAUCUUCCGAAGAAAGCAGAUCGCACGGUCUAGUACCGGCGACAUAUCCUUCAUGUGUCUGCCUUAUCAACUGUCGAUGGUAGUUUAUUGGACUACCAUGGUUGUAACGGGUAACGGAGAAUUAGGGUUCGACUCCGGAGAGGGAGCCUGAGAUAAGGCUACCACAUCCAAGGAAGGCAGCAGGCGCGCAAAUUACCCACUCUCAGUGCGAGGAGGUAGUGACGAAAAAUAACGAGACAGUCUUCUAUGAGGUCUGUCAUCGGAAUGGGUACAACUUUAAACCCUUUAAACGAGGAUCUAUUGGAGGGCAAGUCUGGUGCCAGCAGCCGCGGUAAUUCCAGCUCCAAAAGUGUAUAUUAAAAUUGUUGCGGUUAAAAAGCUCGUAGUUGGAUCUUCGACCAUCAAGAGCGGUAGCCCAUUGGGUUUCACUGCUUCUUGUGGUCUCCUUACAGGUUUUUCCUUGGUGCUCUUAACUGAGUGCCUUGGUUGGAUAGUGCUUUUACUUUGAAAAAAUUAGAGUGCUCAAAUGCAGGAGUUAAAUGCCUGAAUAGUGGUGCAGGGAAUAAUGGAAUAGGACCUCGGUUACUAUUUUGUUGGUUUUCGGAGCUCGAGGUAAUGAUUAAGAGGGACAAACGGGGGCAUUUGUACUGCUGCGUUAGAGGUGAAAUUCUUGGAUCGCAGCAUGACAAACAACUGCGAAAGCAUUUGCCAAGAAUGUUUUCAUUAAUCAAGAACGAUAGUUAGAG
Molecule: ribosomal RNA, 936 nt
Filed under: Chromadora nudicapitata
Lineage: Eukaryota; Metazoa; Nematoda; Chromadorea; Chromadorida; Chromadoridae
Description: bacterial SSU rRNA
Rfam family: Eukaryotic small subunit ribosomal RNA
Source: RNAcentral